UCCUGGUAUAGCUCAGUCAGUAGAGUAUGAGACUCUUAAUCUCUGGGUUGUGGGUUCGAGCCCCAUGUUGGGCA
This is a non-coding RNA of Podarcis lilfordi (Lilford's wall lizard), 74 nucleotides long. Lineage: Eukaryota; Metazoa; Chordata; Lepidosauria; Squamata; Lacertidae. The record is from the annotation of a GenBank genome assembly.